ACACGUAGGGGGCGAGCGUUGUCCGGAAUUACUGGGUGUAAAGGGUGCGUAGGCGGCCUUGCAAGUCAGAUGUGAAAGAUCACGGCUUAACUGUGGUAAGCAUUUGAAACUGUAAGGCUUGAGUGCAGGAGAGGAGAGUGGAAUUCCUAGUGUAGCGGUGAAAUGCGUAGAUAUUAGGAAGAAUAUCAGUGGCGAAGGCGGCUCUCUGGACUGCAACUGACGCUGAGGCACGAAAGCGUAGGGAGCAAACAGAGUUAGAUACCCUGGUAGUCCACGCUGUGAACGAUGAGUGCUAGGUGUCGGGGGUCAUACCUCGGUGCCGCAGUUAACGCAUUAAGCACUCCGCCUGGGGAGUACGGCCGCAAGGCUGAA
RNAcentral lists this ribosomal RNA (372 nucleotides) under uncultured bacterium. RNAcentral's name for it is "bacterial SSU rRNA". It matches the Rfam family "Bacterial small subunit ribosomal RNA", at positions 523 to 898 of the family's 1533-position model. The record is from RNAcentral.